Vigna radiata var. radiata (mung bean) is the source of this 480-nucleotide long non-coding RNA. RefSeq lists it as uncharacterized. The record is from RefSeq and is a predicted model, not a curated record. Lineage: Eukaryota; Viridiplantae; Streptophyta; Magnoliopsida; Fabales; Fabaceae. The transcript is spliced from 3 exons.
AUCUUUCAUUUGCCAUUUUCCACUCUCUCUCUCAAAAAAAAAAAAAAACCCCAUAUUUCCCUAAAUAUUGCUCUGCCUUCUCUCUAAAAUACCACUCUGCUGAACCGUUCAAUUCCUGGUUUGAAGGUGCCUAAGCGUCCACGACAGCAAGGGCUUUACUUUGAAUCGAUUAGUUUCUUUGUCUCCUUCCGGUUCGAUUGAUCUUGUCUCUGCGUUAGGGUACUGUUUUGAGGUCUUGUGAGUUGUUCUGUGUAACCAAAAGAGGAAGGAGAGGUUUCACUGGAGCAUGUCUUGGAGGAAAAAUGAAGAUGUUGCAGCUUAGACUCACUANAAUUUCUUAGUUAUAUUAUGUCAUUUUGAGAUACUAUGUUUUGUCUUUAAAAUUUUUAAAUUCUUAGCUAUUUUGAUGGAUGACUGUAAUCCGAUUUGUCUAAAUGCACUUCUGACUGCUUUCCAGUAUUAUGAUUGAUGAUGUCUUAU